Long non-coding RNA from Danio aesculapii, 1252 nucleotides. RefSeq lists it as uncharacterized. The transcript is spliced from 2 exons. Lineage: Eukaryota; Metazoa; Chordata; Actinopteri; Cypriniformes; Danionidae. The record is from RefSeq and is a predicted model, not a curated record.
ACUUUGGGGGUGCUUGGGAGAGGGAGAUCAAGUCAGUCAAGUCUGCUUUACAUACCGUAAUAGGUGUUCAAUCAGUCGCAGAAGAGGUACUGUACACUGUGUUACUUGAGGUUGAAGCCAUUUUAAACACAAAACCACUGGGCUACACUUCAUCCAGUGUUGCUGACUUGGAUGCUAUAACCCCGAAUGUUCUUCUGAUGGGGCGGCUCGAUGGAGCCCUUCCUCCUGUAGUGUACAGUAAAGAUGAGGGCCUAAGCAAGCGGAGAUGGCGGUACUGCCAAGUUCUGGCAGAUCAUUUUUGGUCCCGAUUCAUUAAGUAUUACCUACCAUCCUUGCAGUGCCGACAGAAGUGGCAUGGCACCCCAGCUGACCUCACAGUGGGUACAGUAGUCUUGAUGAUGGACCCCCAGUUCCCCAGAGCUUUCUGGCCAAUUGGUAGAGUGAUAAAAGUGCAUCCUAGCGCAGAUGGUCACGUGAGAUCAGUAGACAUUAAGGUCAAAGACAAGAUCUACACCCGCCCGGCAGUCCGACUAAUUGUUCUCCCAGAAAUCCCGGAAUCGGAGGAGGAUAAGAAACACCCUCCAGUGACUUCAGAUUAAAAAGUGAGCCUUUUACAUGAGCAAAUUGCACACAAUUUGGGGGCGGCUGUGUAAAAGGCCAUUGAGUAAUGUUGAGUUUCGGAGACUUUUAUUCUGAAAUCGCGGCACAUACCGAAACCGGAAUAGGCGCUAUUGAAUACAGAGAGAACUGUUGUUGCAUCAGUCAUUGCCGAGCGCGGCUCGUUGUCUGAAGUAGCACUGGAAACGUGCAUUGCUGCUAUACUGAGUGUCUGACUGGAUGUAAUUGUGCUUCUGUGCGUGUUAUGAGAAGAAACCACAACCUUUAUAAGCACAACUCAUCGGCUACACACUCAUUUAAUCAGGACAUCAGUAAAUUAACAGCUCCGCAAGGGCAAUCUACAUUGUGAGGAAAGGCUCUUAUGUUUGUCUAUGGCCAAGUGAUACGCUCAUAGCACUCUGAAGGCUCUUUGGAACACUGUUUUACCCACAUACCGCAAACCAAUCUCAAGGCUGGGCCUAAACGUCAGGUCCGUGGGCUACUGGUAAUAGUGUUCUAUAAUUCAUCGUCCUUUGAACCUGUGCACCGGAAACAAUUGGACAUUUCAGUGUACAUCUGCUAAUAUUCACAGUUGGCUCUUCUCUCUCAUGUUCAUACUUACUUGCCACAAUAAAUGUGUUUGAUUUCAUCCCUC